ACAAAUGGGGAGGCCGGGUGUCUGGUUUUGUGAAGAUGUGUGAGAUUCCCUUGGACAACUCCUAGGGAAAUUGCAGCACGCUUUGGAGAGACUAAUUUUCAUCAGUCAAGUGGCCUGGAGCCACCAUAAUUUGGUCACAAGAAGUCAAUGUGACCUUAUUUUCUGGUCAAGGGCUGGUGAGAUUACAACUAUGUGUUCGGUUAAUCCUCCCCCCACCCUCCAAUAUCCCCACUUAAGAGAUGGGAAGACAGAAUUCCUUGAGGGUGAGGUAGCUUGGGUGUUCAGUUCACCAUGGAGCCAGGACUUGAACUCAGGUCUAUCUCAUAUCUUUCCCUGUGGUCUGCUGCCUCUCAUCAUUGGUGUGGGGAGCUGGGGCCUUGGGCAAAGUUGCCCCUGGUGGAUCCUCAUUGUGAUUAGCUCCAUUUCAAAGAAUGGAGGGCAGGACCCCAUGAGUCUGCUGGGGCUGCCAUAAUAAAGCACUACAAACUGGGUGUCUUAAAACAACAGAAAUGUACUGUCUCAGUUCUGGAGGCUGGAGGUCCAGAGUCAAGGUGCAGGAGGGUUGGAUCCUUCUUAGACUUCUGAAUCAGAAUAGGCUCUACAACUCUCCUGGCUCAGGUAGCCCCAGGUGCCCCUAGGCUUACAGAUGCAGCACUUUAAUCCUCUGUCACAUGGCCACCUUCCUAUAGGGACACCAGUCAUAUUGGAUGAAGGACCUGCCCUACUCUGGUAUGACCUCAUCUUAACUAAUUACAUCUGCAAUCACCUUUUUUGGCGAAUAAGGUUACAUUCUGAGGUAUUGGUAUUCUGGGACUCUGAUACAUCUUUUUGGGGACACAAUUUAACCCAGAACAGACUUCUAAGACUCUAGAUUCUGCCUACCCUCCUGAACCCAUCAAUAAAUUCUUCCACUGCCAUUGGUUCAAUGUGCCAGGAAAAUAAAGCUGAAUGUUGGGGUUCACCUGCAGGGAAGGUGGCAUGCGGGACCCCUCCUUGCUGGAGGACGUAAUUUUUCCCUAAACCAAGGGUGUUUAUUGUAUCAUAAAGCAUCCUAGCAGGGUCUCACCACAACGGCAAACUAAACCCUGAAUCCCCAGACAGCGGGACUGGAGACUCACACUUACUACUGUCCCCCGUGGUGCUUGGUGCAUGGCCGAGUUUGAGAACGGGAAGGGACUCUGGAGGAACUGGCCUGCCACGUAAAGUGCAGCACAGUGGUCUGGCAGGACAGGAGUGAACGGCGACCAGCAGACUUGGCAGGGUGGUGGCCGCUGGGGACGCUCCGUUGGUGAUGGAAUGAAGCUAAUGUCACCCCCACACCCACCUUUGUGUGUCCUUGUGAGCUCGCUAUCUCGAAGCCUGGGUCGUUGACAAGACGCUCCCUCUGCAUGCACAUCAUGGGAACAACGGAAUCUCUGAAUUAGAAGGGUGCUCAGCAGCGACUCCGUCUAUUCCUAGAAGUCGUCCACUCCAAGCUCAUCUCACCAGGUCACAGUCGCAUGUAGGAGGUGCGCCGGUUCCUACUGAUUUGGCAGCCUUCUACAGGGACCCCAGUCAUGUUGGAUUAAGGACCUCCCGACUCCAGCAUCUCUGCCCACUGAAAAAGAACAUGAAGUCUUCCAGACGCCCUCCGCCUCUCUCACCUGGACCGCUGUGUCUCUGCAGCUGCGUUGCUGGUGUUGCUCACCUGAAGUGCAUGAUCCCGUGUGCAUCACCUCCCAUGAGCCCUCUGUGCCUCAGUUACUGCACCUAUAAAAUGCGGAUGAUGUUAGGACCCAUGGUACCUGCAUCAUAGGGUUGUAGGGACAAGCACAUAAAUGAAUGUGUGGAAAGUACUUAGAAGAGCCACUAAUGUAGUAAGCUCUAAAUAGAUGUUAAUUACCAAUAUUAA
Felis catus (domestic cat) is the source of this 1891-nucleotide long non-coding RNA. RefSeq lists it as uncharacterized. The transcript has 2 exons. The record is from RefSeq and is a predicted model, not a curated record. Lineage: Eukaryota; Metazoa; Chordata; Mammalia; Carnivora; Felidae.